AAUCAGUUAUCGUUUAUUUGAUAGUACCUUACUACUUGGAUAACCGUGGUAAUUCUAGAGCUAAUACAUGCUGAAAACCCUGACUUCGGAAAGGGUGUAUUUAUUAGAUAAAAAACCAAUGCCCUUUGGGCUCUUUGGUGAUUCAUGAUAACUUAACGGAUCGCAUGGCCUUGCGCCGGCGACGGUUCAUUCAAAUUUCUGCCCUAUCAACUUUCGAUGGUAAGGUAUUGGCUUACCAUGGUUUCAACGGGUAACGGGGAAUUAGGGUUCGAUUCCGGAGAGGGAGCCUGAGAAACGGCUACCACAUCCAAGGAAGGCAGCAGGCGCGCAAAUUACCCAAUCCCGACACGGGGAGGUAGUGACAAUAAAUACUGAUACAGGGCUCUUUUGGGUCUUGUAAUCGGAAUGAGUACAAUUUAAACCUCUUAACGAGGAACAAUUGGAGGGCAAGUCUGGUGCCAGCAGCCGCGGUAAUUCCAGCUCCAAUAGCGUAUAUUAAAGUUGUUGCAGUUAAAAAGCUCGUAGUUGAAUCUUGGGCCUGGCUGGCCGGUCCGCCUCACCGCGUGUACUGGUCUGGCCGGGCCUUUCCUUCUGGAGAACCUCAUGCCCUUCAGUGGGUGUGUUGGGGAACCAGGACUUUUACUUUGAAAAAAUUAGAGUGUUCAAAGCAGGCCUUUGCUCGAAUACGUUAGCAUGGAAUAAUAGAAUAGGACGUGCGGUCCUAUUUUGUUGGUUUCUAGGACCGCCGUAAUGAUUAAUAGGGAUAGUCGGGGGCAUCAGUAUUCAAUUGUCAGAGGUGAAAUUCUUGGAUUUAUUGAAGACUAACUACUGCGAAAGCAUUUGCCAAGGAUGUUUUCAUUAAUCAGUGAACGAAAGUUAGGGGAUCGAAGACGAUCAGAUACCGUCGUAGUCUUAACCGUAAACUAUGCCGACUAGGGAUCGGGCGAUGUUUCUAUCUUGACUCGCU
This 967-nucleotide ribosomal RNA is filed under the name Lophiostoma obtusisporum. RNAcentral describes it as "SSU rRNA". It matches the Rfam family "Eukaryotic small subunit ribosomal RNA", at positions 104 to 1080 of the family's 1831-position model. The record is from RNAcentral. Lineage: Eukaryota; Fungi; Ascomycota; Dothideomycetes; Pleosporales; Lophiostomataceae.